This 72-nucleotide non-coding RNA is filed under the name Proteus mirabilis. RNAcentral's name for it is "TPP riboswitch (THI element)". It matches the Rfam family "TPP riboswitch aptamer (THI element)", at positions 9 to 90 of the family's 105-position model. Rfam says of the family: Vitamin B(1) in its active form thiamin pyrophosphate (TPP) is an essential coenzyme that is synthesised by coupling of pyrimidine and thiazole moieties in bacteria. The previously detected thiamin-regulatory element, thi box was extended, resulting in a new, highly conserved RNA secondary structure, the THI element, which is widely distributed in eubacteria and also occurs in some archaea. The record is from RNAcentral. Lineage: Bacteria; Pseudomonadati; Pseudomonadota; Gammaproteobacteria; Enterobacterales; Morganellaceae.
AACGGGGUGCUUUUUUUAAGCUGAGAAAAACUCGUGGAACCUGAUCCAGCUAAUACUGGCGUAGGGAUUUGA